RNAcentral lists this long non-coding RNA (759 nucleotides) under Pan troglodytes (chimpanzee). RNAcentral describes it as "long non-coding RNA NONPTRT007446". The record is from RNAcentral. Lineage: Eukaryota; Metazoa; Chordata; Mammalia; Primates; Hominidae.
UGGGGCCCAAAUGCAAACUGGAGUAGCCCAAGGAGGCUGAGGGAGCUUUCCUCCACCUCAGCCAUCUGCCCUCGACUAAGGAAGCUGCAGGCCUGAGUGGACUGCUCCCGGGAAGCCACUUUCAUGGCGUCCCCUCUCCAGGGUGCCCAUCUACCUGGAGCGUCAUCAUCGUCACUGCUGGAGUCAUGUCUCCUGUUGCCAAUCCAAGCUCUGGAGACACAAGUACCACAAGAAAGGUGUUACCCAGAGGCACUCGCCCAUCCUCCCUGCUGCACGGGAGGCCACACCAGCUGCCACAGCAACUCUCUGCUCCGUCCUCUGCUUUCUCAGAACUAACCUGGGCUCUCUGGAAUCAGAGACCUUCAACAAGUCACUGCUCACAUUUGCAAAUGUUCACAUCAAGAGAGGACCCCCUUUCCACGUGCCACUCCCCUCUCUUCCGGAUCAUCGCAGCUCUCCCCACCAGCCUUAUCAAUGUGGGGCUCCAACCCUACAGGUCAGUGAUUCACAAACAGGCACUGUCCCAGGUUGGAGCCACUGCCACGAGCCUGUUCUGCACAGACGGGAAUGUUCCCUCUGCCUUGUGAGCGCAGGGCUAUCGGGCACUGGAAAUAUGCCUGGUGUGAUGAGGUACUGGAGAUUACAUUUGAAAAUUAAUUUAAAAUACAGAUGCACCUGGUUAAUGACUGUGGCACCAGGGAGCCCAGAACUGGGAUUCAGAGAUGAGGGAGACGUCACCUCCCCGCCCCUGGGUUUUCU